UGCCUACGGGACGCAACAGUGAGGAAUAUUGGUCAAUGGCCGAGAGGCUGAACCAGCCAAGUCGCGUGAGGGAAGACGGCCCUACGGGUUGUAAACCUCUUUUGUCGGGGAGCAAAGCGAACCACGUGUGGUUCAUUGAGAGUACCCGAAGAAAAAGCAUCGGCUAACUCCGUGCCAGCAGCCGCGGUAAUACGGAGGAUCCGAGCGUUAUCCGGAUUUAUUGGGUUUAAAGGGUGCGUAGGCGGUUUGAUAAGUUAGAGGUGAAAUGUCGGGGCUCAACCCCGAAACUGCCUCUAAUACUGUUG
Molecule: ribosomal RNA, 305 nt
Filed under: uncultured bacterium
Lineage: Bacteria
Description: bacterial SSU rRNA
Rfam family: Bacterial small subunit ribosomal RNA
Source: RNAcentral